RNAcentral lists this ribosomal RNA (393 nucleotides) under uncultured bacterium. Its description in RNAcentral is "partial 16S ribosomal RNA". It matches the Rfam family "Bacterial small subunit ribosomal RNA", at positions 523 to 918 of the family's 1533-position model. The record is from RNAcentral.
AUACGGAGGAUCCGAGCGUUAUCCGGAUUUAUUGGGUUUAAAGGGUGCGCAGGCGGGAGAUUAAGUCGGCGGUGAAAUUUUGCAGCUCAACUGUAAAAGUGCCUUCGAAACUGGUUUCCUUGAGUGUAGAUGAAGUAGGCGGAAUUUGUGGUGUAGCGGUGAAAUGCAUAGAUAUCACGAGGAACUCCGAUUGCGCAGGCAGAUUCCUAAACUACUACUGACGCUCAGGCACGAAGGCGUGGGGAUCAAACAGGAUUAGAUACCCUGGUAGUCCACGCAGUAAACGAUGAGUACUAGCUGUUUGCGAUACAAUGUAAGCGGCUGAGCGAAAGCGUUAAGUAAUCCACCUGGGGAGUACGGUCGCAAGAAGGAAACUCAAAUGAAUUGGAGGGG